UUAAGUUAUUAAGGGCGCACGGUGGAUGCCUUGGCACUAGAAGCCGAUGAAGGACGUUACUAACGACGAUAUGCUUUGGGUAGCUGUAAGUAAGCGUUGAUCCAGAGAUUUCCGAAUGGGGGAACCCAGCAUGAGUUAUGUCAUGUUAUCGACAUGUGAAUUCAUAGCAUGUCAGAAGGCAGACCCGGAGAACUGAAACAUCUUAGUACCCGGAGGAAGAGAAAGAAAAAUCGAUUCCCUGAGUAGCGGCGAGCGAAACGGGAAGAGCCCAAACCAACAAGCUUGCUUGUUGGGGUUGUAGGACACUCUAUACGGAGUUACAAAAGAACAUGUUAGACGAAUCAUCUGGAAAGAUGAAUCAAAGAAGGUAAUAAUCCUGUAGUCGAAAACAUAUUCUCUCUUGAGUGGAUCCUGAGUACGACGGAGCACGUGAAAUUCCGUCGGAAUCUGGGAGGACCAUCUCCUAAGGCUAAAUACUCUCUAGUGACCGAUAGUGAACCAGUACCGUGAGGGAAAGGUGAAAAGUACCCCGGAAGGGGAGUGAAAGAGAACUUGAAACCGUGUGCUUACAAGUAGUCAGAGCCCGUUAAUGGGUGAUGGCGUGCCUUUUGUAGAAUGAACCGGCGAGUUACGAUCUGAUGCAAGGUUAAGCAGCAAAUGUGGAGCCGCAGCGAAAGCGAGUCUGAAUAGGGCGUUGAGUAUUUGGUCGUAGACCCGAAACCAGGUGAUCUACCCUUGGUCAGGUUGAAGUUCAGGUAACACUGAAUGGAGGACCGAACCGACUUACGUUGAAAAGUGAGCGGAUGAACUGAGGGUAGCGGAGAAAUUCCAAUCGAACUUGGAGAUAGCUGGUUCUCUCCGAAAUAGCUUUAGGGCUAGCCUCAAGUGAUGAUUAUUGGAGGUAGAGCACUGUUUGGACGAGGGGCCCCUCUCGGGUUACCGAAUUCAGACAAACUCCGAAUGCCAAUUAAUUUAACUUGGGAGUCAGAACAUGGGUGAUAAGGUCCGUGUUCGAAAGGGAAACAGCCCAGACCACCAGCUAAGGUCCCAAAAUAUAUGUUAAGUGGAAAAGGAUGUGGCGUUGCCCAGACAACUAGGAUGUUGGCUUAGAAGCAGCCAUCAUUUAAAGAGUGCGUAAUAGCUCACUAGUCGAGUGACACUGCGCCGAAAAUGUACCGGGGCUAAACAUAUUACCGAAGCUGUGGAUUGUCCUUUGGACAAUGGUAGGAGAGCGUUCUAAGGGCGUCGAAGCAUGAUCGCAAGGACAUGUGGAGCGCUUAGAAGUGAGAAUGCCGGUGUGAGUAGCGAAAGACGGGUGAGAAUCCCGUCCACCGAUUGACUAAGGUUUCCAGAGGAAGGCUCGUCCGCUCUGGGUUAGUCGGGUCCUAAGCUGAGGCCGACAGGCGUAGGCGAUGGAUAACAGGUUGAUAUUCCUGUACCACCUAGUAUCGUUUUAAUCGAUGGGGGGACGCAGUAGGAUAGGCGAAGCGUGCUGUUGGAGUGCACGUCCAAGCAGUAAGGCUGAGUGUUAGGCAAAUCCGGCACUCAUAAGGCUGAGCUGUGAUGGGGAGAGGAAAUUGUUUCCUCGAGUCGUUGAUUUCACACUGCCGAGAAAAGCCUCUAGAUAGAUAACAGGUGCCCGUACCGCAAACCGACACAGGUAGUCAAGAUGAGAAUUCUAAGGUGAGCGAGCGAACUCUCGUUAAGGAACUCGGCAAAAUGACCCCGUAACUUCGGGAGAAGGGGUGCUCUUUAGGGUUCACGCCCAGAAGAGCCGCAGUGAAUAGGCCCAAGCGACUGUUUAUCAAAAACACAGGUCUCUGCUAAACCGUAAGGUGAUGUAUAGGGGCUGACGCCUGCCCGGUGCUGGAAGGUUAAGAGGAGUGGUUAGCUUCUGCGAAGCUACGAAUCGAAGCCCCAGUAAACGGCGGCCGUAACUAUAACGGUCCUAAGGUAGCGAAAUUCCUUGUCGGGUAAGUUCCGACCCGCACGAAAGGCGUAACGAUUUGGGCACUGUCUCAACGAGAGACUCGGUGAAAUUUUAGUACCUGUGAAGAUGCAGGUUACCCGCGACAGGACGGAAAGACCCCAUGGAGCUUUACUGUAGUUUGAUAUUGAGUGUUUGUACCACAUGUACAGGAUAGGUAGGAGCCGAUGAGACCGGAACGCUAGUUUCGGAGGAGGCGCUGGUGGGAUACUACCCUUGUGUUAUGAACCCUCUAACCCGCACCACUAAUCGUGGUGGGAGACAGUGUCAGAUGGGCAGUUUGACUGGGGCGGUCGCCUCCUAAAAGGUAACGGAGGCGCCCAAAGGUUCCCUCAGAAUGGUUGGAAAUCAUUCGAAGAGUGUAAAGGCAGAAGGGAGCUUGACUGCGAGACCUACAAGUCGAGCAGGGACGAAAGUCGGGCUUAGUGAUCCGG
Molecule: ribosomal RNA, 2421 nt
Filed under: human gut metagenome
Description: bacterial LSU rRNA
Rfam family: Bacterial large subunit ribosomal RNA
Source: RNAcentral